GCGGCGAGCGAACGGGGAGCAGCCCAGAGCCUGAAUCAGUGUGUGUGUUAGUGGAAGCGUCUGGAAAGGCGUGCGAUACAGGGUGACAGCCCCGUACACAAAAAUGCACAUACUGUGAGCUCGAUGAGUAGGGCGGGACACGUGGUAUCCUGUCUGAAUAUGGGGGGACCAUCCUCCAAGGCUAAAUACUCCUGACUGACCGAUAGUGAACCAGUACCGUGAG
RNAcentral lists this ribosomal RNA (223 nucleotides) under Escherichia coli. RNAcentral describes it as "partial 23S ribosomal RNA". It matches the Rfam family "Bacterial large subunit ribosomal RNA", at positions 246 to 507 of the family's 2925-position model. The record is from RNAcentral. Lineage: Bacteria; Pseudomonadati; Pseudomonadota; Gammaproteobacteria; Enterobacterales; Enterobacteriaceae.